This 465-nucleotide ribosomal RNA is filed under the name uncultured bacterium. RNAcentral's name for it is "partial 16S ribosomal RNA". It matches the Rfam family "Bacterial small subunit ribosomal RNA", at positions 28 to 507 of the family's 1533-position model. The record is from RNAcentral.
GAUGAACGCUGGCGGCGUGCUUAACACAUGCGAGUCGAACGGAAAGGCCCAAGCUUGCUUGGGUACUCGAGUGGCGCACGGGUGAGUAACACGUGGGUGAUCUGCCCUGCACUUCGGGAUAAGCCUGGGAAACUGGGGCUCAUACCGGAUAGGACCUCAUUUUGGAUGGUGUGGUGGAAAGUUUUGCGGUGUUGGUUGGGCUGGCAGCUUAUCCGCUGGUUGGUGGGGUAAUGGCCUACCAAGGCGUCGACGGGUAGCCGGCCUGAGAGGGUGUACGGCCACAUUGGGACUGAGGUACGGCCCAGACGCCUACGGGAGGCAGCGGUGGGGAAUAUUGCACAAUGGGCGCAAGCCUGAUGCAGCGACGCCGCGUGGGGGAUGACGGCCUUCGGGUUGUAAACUCCUUUCGCUAGGGACGAAGCGCAAGUGACGGUACCUGGAGAAGAAGCACCGGCUAACUACGUG